This 32-nucleotide non-coding RNA is filed under the name Rattus norvegicus (Norway rat). Lineage: Eukaryota; Metazoa; Chordata; Mammalia; Rodentia; Muridae. The record is from RNAcentral.
AACCAGUGUCAGCAGAGUCCAACAAAGACCAG